Molecule: unclassified non-coding RNA, 263 nt
Filed under: Hevea brasiliensis (rubber tree)
Lineage: Eukaryota; Viridiplantae; Streptophyta; Magnoliopsida; Malpighiales; Euphorbiaceae
Source: RNAcentral
AUUAGGGAGUAGGAAUUCGAAUCUAAAUCUACUAAAUAAUAUACUUCUAAUUAUUGAAUCAAGCCAAAUUAGACAAAGUUCUAAUUCUCUACUUUGACUUAUGUAUUAAUUUUCAAUUUAGCCAAAGGUAUCAAACCAUUUCAUAAAGUUAAAAUAGAAUGCUCAUUUGAAAAAGUUCAUAUACAUCUGAUUUUAUUACUGGGACAGAAUUUAAUAAUCAAAUUCAUAUUUCCUAAUGUGAAAUAUGAGAAAUUUAAUUUCCU